RNAcentral lists this long non-coding RNA (267 nucleotides) under Lathyrus oleraceus (garden pea). RNAcentral's name for it is "Pisum sativum (pea) long non-coding RNA (PSAT_LNC002474)". The record is from RNAcentral. Lineage: Eukaryota; Viridiplantae; Streptophyta; Magnoliopsida; Fabales; Fabaceae.
UCUUCUUUUCCCUAAAUUUUUCCUGGAUUCGUUCUUUUGAACUCUCAGUCCACCGAAACCCCCUAAUUUUUUCUUGAGUCGCUUUCUUGGUGUUCGACUUAGCGGCCUUUUUCCCUUUUUUUACUUUUACUUUUUUGGAACAAUGUGUGUGACAUGUGUUAUUUUUGGUUUAAACAUGACGAUGAUUGUCGGGUCCUUCGUUAUUGAGAAAUAACCAUUAUACGUUUUGAUUUUUCAUUACUACUUCGACACUUCUUGAUGGGUGUG